Molecule: RNA transcript, 2036 nt
Organism: Corythoichthys intestinalis (scribbled pipefish)
Lineage: Eukaryota; Metazoa; Chordata; Actinopteri; Syngnathiformes; Syngnathidae
Gene name: triple functional domain protein-like
Exons: 10
Source: RefSeq, a predicted model, not a curated record
GAUAACACCGGAGCUUCCAUGAAUUGCUCUAUAAAUUGCAUGACUAAUUGAAACCAUUGAGAAUAGGGCUAAAAAAUGAUGACAAUAUGGCGGCCGGAUGCAGCGACACGUCAUUUUGUGACGUAGGUGAGUAGGGUCUAUACCAGAGGUUCGAAGGAGGUGGGGUCAAGGUCAAAAUCCAGAUCAAAGAGCAUGACAAACUAAGAGCCUCAUUGGUCAGCUCUUUGAUAUCACGUGCAGCUUCACCCACAGUCCGACAGCAUCCAGCAGAUGUCAUUCAGUCAGAUGCUGCAGUUGAACGCACGCGACUCAUCUGCUGACGCACGACUCAAUUGGACAAACUUUUAUCACCACGAACACCUCGCCUCUCAUCUUUUUGCACUCACUAAAAGCCUUGGAGAUCUAUUGAGUAGUUUAAUCAGCGAUCCGUGGUAUGGGACACCCCUCGGUUAUGUUGUGCCGAAAAAUCUCUCGUGGUCCACCGUCACUGGUUCAUCAAACAACUUUAUGUGCCCGCUCUGAUAUAGACACUGAACUGUUGAGCAACUGCGCCGAUAAUAUGGUGACCAGCAUGUUGGAGCUCCAAAUGGACAUCAACCCUGCCACUGCAGACGCCCUGGACGAGAAGAAGAAAAAGUCUGCGUGCAGAAAAAUGUUUAUUUUGAAUGAGCUCAUUCAAACCGAAAAGGCCUACGUCCGAGACCUACAGGAAUGCAUUGACAUUUACAUGAGCGAGAUGUUGACAAAGGAGGAAGAGAUCCCUCCAGGAACCACCAAUGUGAAGCACGUCAUCUUUGGGACCAUUUUGGAGCUGUAUGAAUUCCAUCACAGGAUCUGCUGGAAUGCUGUGAAGAAGGGAAAGCCGAACUCAAGAUGGCCCUGGAUGUGACUCUUAGCAUUCCAUAGAGAGCCAACGAUGCCAUGCAUCUCUCCAUGCUGGAAGCUUUUCAUGAGAGCAUCGAGUCCCAAGGCGAGCUGCUCCUACAGGAGUCCUUCAAAGUGUGGGAUUCAAAGAUUCCAUUCAGGAUGGAGAAAGAUAGACAACUCUUCCUCUUUGAGAAGUCCUUGGUGGUCUGCAAGGUAGUCAAGGAUGACAAGGGGAAGAGUAGGGGUGCCCCAGCAAAUCAAUUGACUCCAUCUAACCCUGUCCUCUGCAUCUUCUGCUCUUUCACCAACCAGCUUCACGUCCUCUUUAAAUACAUCAAUAAACCUCCUCUUUGGUCGUCCUCUCGACUUCCUGCCCGGCACAUGGAAAUCCAUCAUCCUUUUGCCAAUAUACUUAGUAUCACAUGCCCAAGCCAUCUCAAUCUGGCCUCUCUGACCUUCUCUCCAAAGCCUCGAACAUGUGCUGUCUAUCUGAAAUGCUCAUUUUCACUAAAGACAAUCAUUCUAUUUCUUCUUUAGAUAGCCGAGAUAAAGCUGACAGAGCACCUGAAGGGAGACCCCCGCAAAUUUGCUCUUUCGUUAGGCCGAACCAGAACAUUUAGCAAGAUUGUUCUGAAGGCUUCCUCUUCUCUGACCAAGAUGGACUGGAUCAAACAUAUCCGGAAGGGGAGGCGCUCAAGGAGCCGAGGCGUAUUCCCAAAACUAGCGCAGACAAGCACCACAAGAGUCGAAGGGAUGGAAAACAUCACGAAGAUGAAGUUGAAAGUGGAAGAUUGAGGCCUGCUACAUUGGAGGACCCUAGCACACAUAUUACCUGGUACAAAGAAAUGUGGGGUUCUCAAAGUGUGACAUACAAAUAGGAACUUACAUGAACUUGCACACGUUGACAAGAUCCUCAUAAAAAGAAACCAAAGAAAAUGGCUUUGGACUAUUUCAAAAUGUCAAAUUUUAAUAUAUGUAUAUACUGUAUAUAAUAUGUGGUUUCUUUUGGUACCUUUUAAAAAAUAGAUAUUUUUGUAUAUAGUUGGAUUCAGUGAUAUAUUUUACCAAAUAAAAUGUAAUUGUUCUUUGCACGGAAUGUGUUUGUCCUUGUUUAAUAAUAAUUGAAAUACAUGUGUUUGUGGGGGCAUGAAUAGGUAGAAGAAAUUAGG